This 23-nucleotide microRNA is filed under the name Schistosoma japonicum. Its description in RNAcentral is "miRNA-3150". The record is from RNAcentral. Lineage: Eukaryota; Metazoa; Platyhelminthes; Trematoda; Strigeidida; Schistosomatidae.
AAGUUCAAUUGGGUCGGUGCUUU